AAGCUCAAAGUUGGAACCUGGCUGUCUUAGAUAGUCCGGAUUGUAAACUAAAGAGCGUGAAUCCAGGCAAGCCGGUUGAUCAAGUCCUUUGGAAUGAGGCGCCACUGAGGGUGAGAGCCCCGUAAAUCGACUGAGCAUUUGUCUUUUGUGUUUCGCGUUCAAAGAGUCAGGUUGUUUGGGAAUGCAGCCUAAAGCUGGUGGUAAAUCCCACCUAAAGCUAAAUACAGGCGAGAGACCGAUAGCGAACAAGUACCGUGAGGGAAAGAUGAAAAGUACUUUGAAAAGAGAGUUAAACAGUAUGUGAAAUUGCCAAGAGGGAAGCAUUUGGAGUUAGACUGACUUGAAGUUAAUCAGCUUGGUCUUUGGACUGGGUGUACUUGACUUCUAUGUCUGCCAAUAGCAGUUAGUCCUGGUGGAAAAAACUGAAGGGAAGGUAGUCCUUCGGGAUGUUUAUAGACCUUUGGAAAAUACACUGGGAUUGACUGAGGAAUGCAGUAGAUGCUAUUAAGGCUUCGUCUAGUAGGUGUUAGGUGAAGGUACUUGGUAUUUUCAGCUUGCUGAUGUGCUAGGUUACUUGAGCUUAAUUGCU
This 589-nucleotide ribosomal RNA is filed under the name Lichtheimia corymbifera. RNAcentral's name for it is "eukaryotic LSU rRNA". It matches the Rfam family "Eukaryotic large subunit ribosomal RNA", at positions 104 to 624 of the family's 3401-position model. Lineage: Eukaryota; Fungi; Mucoromycota; Mucoromycetes; Mucorales; Lichtheimiaceae. The record is from RNAcentral.